Long non-coding RNA from Brienomyrus brachyistius, 1551 nucleotides. RefSeq lists it as uncharacterized. The record is from RefSeq and is a predicted model, not a curated record. The transcript has 3 exons. Lineage: Eukaryota; Metazoa; Chordata; Actinopteri; Osteoglossiformes; Mormyridae.
CUCACUGUAGACGGUGGUGGUGUCCCCCUUCUCACAGCUGUUGUGGCAGCGUCCGUUAGCAUUGCAGACCCGCCGGCACACCAUCGGGGUGAAGACGAUCUUGAUACGGUCCAGAUUGGAGGACACGGAAGUCGUCGGUCUUACACGAUUGAAAACAACAAUCAAGUGAAUUGAAGAAUGGAAACAAACGGACGAUGCCCUGAUACAUAAUGACACCAGCAUUCCUGUGCUAACAUCACCUGUCAAUGGGCUCCCACUCUGGAUGACAGCUGUUCACAUCAGAACUGGCUGCACCUCCUCGUGCUCUAUCAUCAAUGACAGUGGAAAACAAGCCCAGACGUCGUUUAUCUGCACUACACACAAAUCGCCGUAGCCUGCCCUGUCAUGACGGCCUUUUUCCAUUCCUCUCUCCAUGACACCUAGCUUUUCUUGUCUUCUUGCGCUAUGCCAGAUGGUAUAUUUACUAUCAAAAUAUCCCUGUAGUAUGAAGUAACCUGUGUCAUCUCUAUAUUUGGACAGGGGAGUAAUAUUCUAGUGGUUUGAUGUCAUUGCUGCUUCAAGGCUACAGGAAUUACGAGGAGGACUCCUCAGCUGUCAAAAUGUAGCCGAGUGAAAAAUACAAUCCAAACAUCUCCUUUUUUAGCUGAGCUUAUUCCUAGUACGCUUAAGACAUCAGAAAGUACAUUUUCGGAAUCAAAACUGCAACAUAUUAUUCUAAUUAAAGUCAAUUUAUGAUUACAGCAGUGAGACACAUUUAGACCAAACAGAAAACAUAAAGCAAUGUGAAAUGAAUGAAUUAGCAGAAACACAUUCAGCCAUUCCUGAACUGCUCUCUCUCGCUCUCUCUCUCUCUCUCUUUCUCUCUCUCUCAGGCUAAUCUGUUAGUCUUCACCUUUUUCUUUAAAGUGAAAUCUUGUGGUAUGGGAUUCUCUCGUUCCUAAAUAACCCCCCCCCACCAGCAAUGUAUUCUUGAGGUGUCCAAGUCAGGAUGGGCUGUGUUUGUCCUUAAAGACCAUUGAAGCAGCCUACACUAACCACAUUAAAGGAUUCUCCAGCCCCUCAACACAGGAGGACAACAUGAGAGCCACAUGAGAUCCUGCUCAUGGUCCCUCACAGCAGCAACUGUAAAAUGCAAGGGUGACGAGUCUCUCUCUCAGGAACUGAGACGGGAAAUCCAACAAAAGCUCACAAGUUGAAGUCCAGGCUCCAGUUCUUGUCCAGACUGGAGAAAGGUGUGUGAGACCUGGACAGAGGGUAGUCAAGAAGCCAGAAGCAUUCCUCGCAUACCCUUCGCCGGUCUGCCUCGUUCACACAUGAACCCACCGCAGCAGGACCUACACGCGGACGACUCCCUAGUCUGGGUGCAGAACAUACAGAUGUCUCGCUAAAGAGGUGAACACGCAAGAUGAACCAAGGGUCUACUCCCACCCUAAAAUCCGGCAAAUAAAAAAAUAUGUUUUUUUUUUAAUACCAUGUUAGGAAAAAUUUGUUACUAGCAAACAUAAAGAAAAGCCAGGAUUGGAGAUUAAAAAAAGCUCGCCUUGUACCCAA